Molecule: ribosomal RNA, 292 nt
Filed under: uncultured bacterium
Lineage: Bacteria
Description: partial 16S ribosomal RNA
Rfam family: Bacterial small subunit ribosomal RNA
Source: RNAcentral
GUGUCAGCAGCCGCGGUAAUACGUAGGGGCCGAGCGUUGUCCGGAAUUAUUGGGCGUAAAGCGCGUGUAGGCGGCUUGGUAGGUCUCGCGUUAAAGCCCGCAGCUCAACUGCGGAAUCGCGCGGGAAACCACCUCGCUAGAGUCCGGAAGAGGAGUGUGGAAUUCCUGGUGUAGCGGUGAAAUGCGCAGAUAUCAGGAAGAACACCAGUGGCGAAGGCGGCACUCUGGGACGGUACUGACGCUGAGACGCGAAAGCGUGGGGAGCGAACAGGAUUAGAUACCCGAGUAGUCC